Cebus imitator (Panamanian white-faced capuchin) is the source of this 711-nucleotide long non-coding RNA. RefSeq lists it as uncharacterized. NCBI's taxonomy places the organism in Eukaryota, Metazoa, Chordata, Mammalia, Primates, Cebidae. The transcript has 2 exons. The record is from RefSeq and is a predicted model, not a curated record.
ACCCACUGCCGCUGAACCUGUCUGGGACUCCAGAGGCCCGGUUGGAAGCAUCAUAGAUCAGGAGCUGUGGAGACCGGCCUGGCUUCUGCAGGGACCCAGAACAUUAGCAGACCCAGGAGCUGAGCACAGAGCCUCAUCGUGAGAAGGUGCGCUGAGGAGUCCUGAUCAGUCAAGACAAGAUUGGAGCUGAGCUUUUAUCUCGGACUCACAAGGGGAAGUCCUCCCUAGGGGACAAUAUGCAAAUCCCCUGGUGGGUGCAGUGGUGUGGAAAGAGCCACUGAGUGGGAGGUGAAGGGAGGUAGACAUGUCUCCUCUGUGAGCAGUGUGAUAUACAGUGUUCCUUGAUUAAAAACUAAUAGAGAUAAAGUCUAAUUUACCAGUAGCAGUGGGAAGAAGGAUCUGAAUUUGAAAGUUUGGAUCUUGGGCAAGUAACAUUUUAUAGGAUGUCAGGGCUUCCAAGUUUUUGCCAACUCUGAGUGUGAACCUGUGUUCCCCGAGCCUGUAUGUGGCACAGCCACAACCAUGAGACCCCAGUUCAAAAGGAGAUUUUCUAUGUAGGAAGAGCAAGAACUGGAUCCACAGUUUUAAGUCUCAGAGUCAGCAGUACUAUGGAUGACAUUUUCCUAGGUUUUUAGUGAAAGUUGAUCAUAACUCAGGGACAUGAAUCUACCGUACAGCUGAUCGUUACAAUAGGAAAACAACCUGAGUAUU